UCUGAGCAUUUUUCAAAAAAACAGUUAGUAUUUUAAUUAUUGAAUAUAUUCCAAAUUACAGAUAUAACUUGGUUAUUUUCUAUUAUCUUGUAAAUGGUAGAGAAUAAAAAUUUGAUAUUUUGUAGUUAUGUAUAACUUUACAAACCCUAUCAAAUUAGCUAUCAAAAUGACAGUGUUGCCAUUUAAGAAAAUCGACGAUGACGUCAUAUCUCUAAAUUGGGACACCCUGUAUACAUUUUUAUUGAAUGUCAAAAAGAACAAUUUGAAAUACUAAUCGACGGGUCUGAGUAUUUUCCAAAAAAACAAUUAGUAUUUGAGAUAUUGAAUUUAUUCCACUUUACAGACUCUCUCUGUAUAGGGCAGUCAAUGAGGGUAUGUGGCUCCGAAUUCCAUCCUACUAUAUCGAUUUACGUGAUAUUUCAUAGUAAGUAGGGAAUAGCCCAAGAAACAAAGUCUACCCUAUGCCGAUGUGUGCUUUUGUCUUGGGGGCGGUUCCCACCCCUUCUCGGGGGUGGAAAAUUUUUUGCUUAAAUAACUACGGAAGUUGCUAGAGAACCUAAUACUAAGCAAAAACUGUUUUAUAAUUUUUUUUUUCGAAAACUCGAUACUUUUUGAGUUAUUCCUGGCUGAAAGUUGCCCAUUUUAAAAACUAUGCAUCUAACUAAAAAAACUAUAUAAAACAUUUUUGUAGCUUAUAAAAUAACGAAGAGAUUCUUUCCUUUAUGAAUCUUCUAGUUAUAGCACAAAAAGAGAUAUGGUAAGUGCAAAAAAACUUGUUUUCUUGGUGCAUGCUCAAAUCAGUGUAUUUAACUUGAAAUAACAGAGAAACGGUCGACUUUAGGUGUAUAAUGCUACCAAUAACUUUUGUUGUGAUUGAAAAUACCUAUAAAUUAAGCAAUAUUAAAUGUCGAUUACAUUCAAACUAUGCGAGAUAAACUGUAAGAAAUUUGAUGACUAACGUAUUUUAAGAAAAAAAUGAGAAGUGUAUUUAACCCCUCAUCCACAAGAAUUUAAAUGCAUCGUUUUCCUUCUACAGUAUAUUUUAUUAUAGUGUUAUUUUUAUGUUCAAAAAGUUGGGCGAGUUUAAAAUGAAUGGUUCUUGAAAGAAAUAAAUCAAAUUAUUGAGCGCAUUUUUAAAUUUCCUUAAAAAUCUUCCUAUUUCUCCAUGUAACUCGAAAAUGAUAAGAGAUGCCAAAAAAAGAUGCCAUUCAAAAAUGUAGGUUUGUUCUAGAUAAACAUUUUGAUUUUAUUUUUUAUAACAGUAUCUCUUAUCAUUUUCAAGUUACAUGGAGAAAAAGUAAGAUUUUUUAGAAAAUUUAAAUAUGCGCUCUAUAAUUUGAUCUUAUUUUUUUCAAAAACCAUUCAAUUUAUACCCGCUCAAUUUUUUGAACAUAAAAAUAACACUGAAGGAAAGCGAUGCAUUUAAAUUCUUGUGGAUGAGUGGUUAAAUAUACUUCUCAAUUUUUUUCUUAAAAUUCGUUAGUCAUCAAUUUUUUGCAGCAUAUCUCGCUUAGUUUGAAUGUAAUCGACAUUUAAUAUUGCAUAUUUGAAAUGACUUUUCAAGCACAAUAAAAGGUAUUGGUAGCAUUAUACACCUAAAAUCGACCGUUUCUCUGUUAUUUCAAUUUGAAUACACUGAUUUGAGCAUGCACCAAAAAAACAAACUCUUUUACCUACCAUAUCUCUUUUUGUGUUAUAACUAGAAGAUUGAAGAUGGAACAAAUCUCUUUGAUUUUUUAUGAGCUACAAAAAUGUUUUAUAUAAUUUUUUUAGUUAGAUGCAUUGUUUUUAAGGUAUUCGCAAAAAACCGUUUGAGAAGGUGUUAUAUUUCAAUGAAAAUGGCCAAUUUUCAACCACGAAUAACUGAAAAAGUAUUGAGUUUUCGGAAAAAAAUUAUAGAACAGUUUUUGCUUAGAAUUAGGUUCUCUAGCAACUUCCGUUGUUGUUUAACCAAAAAAUUUCCCACCCCCAAGAAGGGGUGGGAACCGCACCCAAGACAAAAGCACACAUCGGCAUAGGGUAGACUUUGAAUAAGGAGAUAUUUUCAGGCUAUUCCUAAAAUUUCAUUAAAAUCCAUGCAGUAGGAUAGAAUUAGGAGGUAAUAACCUGUUCUUGCUCUCAUUGACUGCCCUAAUAGGAAUAUAAAAAAUAUGCAAAAUGCAUAUUUUAUUAAAUUCUGUAAUCCUGAAUUUGCUAAAAAAAAUUAAAUGUUAAAUAUGUACUUACGAACUCUCGCCGUUACGAAUUGUCCGUUACCAUUUGUCGGGUUACGAACUAUCGCGUUACGAGAUGUCAUGGAACCAUAAUAACACACGCAAGGAUAAAAAGAUACAAGGAUAAGAUAACAGAUUGUACGUGGCCGACAUUAUCAGUUAUGUUUGGAGAUAAAAUGGUUCCGGUUUGUUAGAAUUUAACGGAAAUAUCCAAGUGUUCAAGGUUAGGAAACUAAACCGUUUGAUUAAAAAAAAUUUUUUUCAUUAAUUUCUAAGUAAAAAUACCAUUUUAUGUUCAAAGAGCCGAUAUUGUAGCCCCCUUAAUAAUUAUUUUUAUGUUUGUCCCUUGUCCAGUGUGUGUUAUCUAUUUGUAUUAUUUUUAAUUAAAUGUCUGACAUUCCGGGAUUUGCUGGAUAACUUCCUUUUUUGACGGAAUGCCCCCUGAUGAUGCUAUGAGAGCGAAACUACUUGGGCAAAAUUUAAUAAAUAACUGCUCGAUAUCUGCGUUUUAUUUGUAAAAUUCAUAUAUUCGAGCAUUGAACUAUAUUAUAUUAUUGAAUUGUAAUGUAGUUAAAAGGCAAUUAAGAUAAAUUUUUACAGAGUUUAUCGUGUUCUUCUAUGAUUAUUAAAUAAUUCUAGUUUAUUUGUUAUCUCAUUACUAGAUCUAGUAAGAGAUAACCCAUGAAUUUUUUAAAAUGUUUAUCCAAUUCUGAUAUAUCUGUUAAGUACAUAAUAAUGAACCUAUUAAAUAAGUCGCAGAUUCUACAUAGUAAAAAAAACUUGUUUCAAUAAAUUUGAAAGUUCAAAACGCUUUAUCCAGAAAGAUGUAAAUAUAUCAAAAAUAUUAUCAGUAAUAAUUGCACAAGAGCUCUAAAAUUCUAUAUUAAUUUUAGAGAUCGAGUGCAAUUUGUUGCGAUUAUUUCAUGAAUAAAACUGUUCAACACCAAAA
RNAcentral lists this long non-coding RNA (3162 nucleotides) under Diabrotica virgifera virgifera (western corn rootworm). Its description in RNAcentral is "uncharacterized LOC126882965". The record is from RNAcentral. Lineage: Eukaryota; Metazoa; Arthropoda; Insecta; Coleoptera; Chrysomelidae.